Molecule: ribosomal RNA, 488 nt
Filed under: uncultured bacterium
Lineage: Bacteria
Description: bacterial SSU rRNA
Rfam family: Bacterial small subunit ribosomal RNA
Source: RNAcentral
GAUGAACGCUAGCUACAGGCUUAACACAUGCAAGUCGAGGGGUAGCACGGAAGAAGCUUGCUUCUUUGGGUGACGACCGGCGCACGGGUGAGUAACACGUAUCCAACCUGGCCCAUACUCGGGUAUAGCCUCUCGAAAGGGAGAUUAAUCCCCGAUGUUGUCGUUGUUCCGCAUGGUACAUCGACCAAAGUUUUUCGGUAUGGGAUGGGGAUGCGUUCCAUUAGCUUGUUGGCGGGUAACGGCCCACCAAGCCGACGAUGGGUAGCCGACCUGAGAGGGUGAUCGGCCACACUGGAACUGAGACACGGUCCAGACUCCUACGGGAGGCAGCAGUGGGGAAUAUUGGUCAAUGGACGAGAGUCUGAACCAGCCAUGUCGCGUGAAGGAAGACUGUCCUAUGGAUUGUAAACUUCUUUUAUAUGGGAAUAAAGUGAGAAACGUGUUUCUUUUUGUAUGUACCAUAUGAAUAAGCAUCGGCUAACUCCGUG